UGCAUUUGGUUAAUGUCUAAAAAUGUUAUUCGAUUACGAAAUGUACUAUUUGACCUCAACCUUUGAACAUCAUUGAGAUUUCUUGCCAAACACGAAUAUCUUGCAAAAACAAUAUUGUUUCUAAGUGAAUUUAUUGAAAAAGUUUUGCAGCUCUGAGAUGAACACUGUUUUAUUUUGUGUUUUCGCCACAUUCAUUGUGGGUUUGAAUGCAGCUGUUUAUCACUUAGGAAGAGAUCCUAAUAAUUCAGAUCAUCCAGGACACUGUAACUCUAACGAUACUGGGCUAAUAAAACAUGGAGAGAC
Long non-coding RNA from Leptinotarsa decemlineata (Colorado potato beetle), 303 nucleotides. Lineage: Eukaryota; Metazoa; Arthropoda; Insecta; Coleoptera; Chrysomelidae. The record is from RefSeq and is a predicted model, not a curated record.